UAGUCAACAGAGCACCUUCUUACAUGUUCUCUUGGCCACAGAGACUCAAAACUGAAGCACUUCUCACAUUACCUGUUCGAGACCAAAGACUUUUAGAGCUUAUCUGUCAGAGAUUCAACCUCUGAAGGAUUUCUCACAACUGCUUGUCAGGACUGGAGACUGAAAGAGCUUAUCUUUCAGCCUCAGGACUUGACAGAGACAGAAUACAACUAUAAUUUCAUGGCAACCCCAAACCCCAGCAGUGACUGCUCGGACUCAGAGCAGUCCCAUAUGAAAAUAAAUUCCCCGGAGAGCCUCGCAGGGGAUGAUCUCCCUGAUUCCCACACCUUCCACAAAGAGACCAAAACCACCCUCAAAGGUAACGUGUGUCACCAGGAGACAACAACCUUUCAUGAAGGAUAUGUUGUGGGUUCCUCAGUCAACGGCCACCCUACUGUGGAAGGACCAGAGGACACAGGGAGUCUAGGAAGAUGCAUGGACAAUAAUUCUGACACCACCAAGGACAACCCUAACCAGGCGCAUAUACAGAUGUAUCCUGAUGUGGAAGAGGAUGAGGAGACAGACUCAGAUAGCGAAGGCGAAGGAGCUGAUCAAAUUGUCACUAACAACAACAAGUGGAUAAAUAAGAAUUUAAGACUCAGAGGGCUAUACAUUGACCCUGUGGAUGGCUGGCCAGUAAUUCAGCUUGUCAGUCCCAAACUCACCAAGGAACAAGCACCAGAAGAUAGUCACAAUGAGGAGAGAAAGGAGGAAAGCGAAAGCAGCGAAGAUGAAUAUGGGGAUGCAGAUAAACUAAUUGAAAACUUCAAAGACCAAGAUGAAGGCAUGCUAAUGGGAUUAAUUGAAAAAGAAAAAGAGGACACGAAGAUCAAGAACAACGAAGACACCUGGAGUGAUGACGAAGAGUAUGUGGACCUUUAUGAACGA
Heterocephalus glaber (naked mole-rat) is the source of this 927-nucleotide long non-coding RNA. The record is from Ensembl. Lineage: Eukaryota; Metazoa; Chordata; Mammalia; Rodentia; Bathyergidae.